This 25815-nucleotide long non-coding RNA is filed under the name Gossypium barbadense (sea-island cotton). RNAcentral's name for it is "long non-coding RNA (GBAR_LNC013851)". The stretch from base 641 to 781 matches the Rfam family "MIR7502 microRNA precursor family". The record is from RNAcentral. Lineage: Eukaryota; Viridiplantae; Streptophyta; Magnoliopsida; Malvales; Malvaceae.
GAGAAGGUGUUUGGCCCUCAUUCGAAUAUAUCAGUGUAUGCAACUGCCCUAAUUUCAAGAAAAUCAAUUUAGAUUCCAAGUCGAAACAUACACUGAAGGGGAUUAAAGGUGAGAAGGAUUGGUGGGAUUCAUUAGAGUGGAAAGAACCUUCUCUAAGCAUACUUUUCAACGACUUGUUUACUCCAGUUUCUGAGGAUGAUAUAUGAGGAGAUAGUAUCAAUUGAUGCUAUUUUCAUCGCUUGAGUCAUUGAUGUGUAAGAAUCAAGAAUUUUUACCUGCAGAAAAUAAAUCAAGGCUGAAGAGGUAUUGUCUAUUUUUCCUUUUUCUUUUCCAGGAUUAUGAAGCAUUUAUAUUUAUUUGAAAUUCAAGCAUGCUUAUAUAGUAGCUGAAUAUCACUUAGCAGUGAGUACCUCGUUAUUUCUUCUUCAAUUUUCCUAUAGUAUCCUUGUCCGGCACAUUUUUGCAAAAAUUGAGUUCCUCUUAACAUCGAAAAAUAGGAAAAAGGUAAUUAUUUGGUCAAUUCUUUGGUAAAAGUAACAUGAAAGCUCCUGUAUUAGGGGGUGGAUUGCAUUUUGCCCCUCUGUUAAAAAACUGGCAAAUUAGUCUUUGUAUAUUAGAUCAAAGAGCAAACUGGUCUUUCUAUUAAAAGUUUCAUCUAUUUUCUAUUAAAAAUUGGUCAUUGUAUGUCAGCAUGAGGUACACGUGGCACGCCAUGUCAUUGCCUGAUUAUUAUGUCAACCACAUUAGAUUUUAACAAUACAAAUUGAUGAAAUUUUUAACCGAAAUGACCAACUUGCUUUUUAGUCUAAUUUAUAAGGAUUAAUUUGGCCUUUUUUUAGUAGAUGGGUAAAAUGCAAUCCGAUGUCUAGUAUAGGGGUCUUCAUGGUACUUUUAUUCAAUUAUUUUCAUCUAAAUUGUGGUUGGUUGAAUGUUUUAUGGUUUAGCAUGCCUUAUUUGCUACUUUGUUUUAUUUUUCCAUGCAUAACUUUCCAAUCAAGAUUAUUAAUAAUUCACUUUUUUUAGUCACUCCUUGGGGAGCUUUGAAAUUCCUUGCCUGCAAAGAGUUUCCGGCAGCAAAUCAGCUCCUCACACUGGCAAACAAAGAGAAAGGCAGAAAUGGCUGUCCAUUGACAACCAGUGCUAUUGGUAUAGCGAAUGCAAACAAUUAGAGAUAGCCUUUUCUGGAACAAUUUCCGGAAAACGGAACUACCAUUGUAGAUAAAAGUACUGCUUCCUUCCCAAUUCCCUCAUGGAUUCCCCGUAAUGUGUUAGAGGAAGCAUGGCAGCAUCACUAACAACACUUGCAUCCGUCAACAGUCGAUUUAUCGGAAUUCCGGAAAGGUAUCGGUCAAGAACUUGUACCUUUUGUUCCCCUUACAAUCUAGACAUGUUGAAGCCCUGAAUUUAGGGUUUAAAGACCUUGUUAUAUCAGGAACUUUCUCUGAUUAUUUUGCCUUCCAUGUGUAUAAUUUGUUGUCAAUUUAAAUUAACUUAAUUCAAGGAACAUGGAUCACUUCUUUUAAACAAAUUAAACAGUUAUUCUUCUAAGCAAAUAUUCUCAUACUUUGGGUCUAAAACACCUUUAAUUCUUUAAAAUGGGAUUGUUUACUGUUUAAAAAAAUGAUUUUAGUGUUGAAUAAAAUGUAAAUAGAAAAAUAUUACACACUUAAAUACAAUCAAAUUUGACCACUAAGUUGAGGCAAUAAUGGUGCUAAAUCAAUGUACUGUGAAGCUCGAAUCUCAUCAAUUUAUAAAAAUAAAAUUUUAAGAUUUUUUUUAAGUAUUUUUUUAAACAGAAUUUGAUAACCAUAUUACAUUUAAGACUUAUUUAAUUUCUCUAGUCUCUAUAAUACAGAGAUCACUAAAGUAUUUUAACCAUUCUUUGUAAGUAUUGGAUGUGCAUUACUGUUAGAUUCUAGUGGAUGGUUACUAGUGACUAAAUAUACAUGUAAUUUCUAAUAUUAUUAAUGAGCAUGCAAAAAGUGAGUGACUAAUAGAAUUUUUAAUAUUAUUCUCAUAAAAAAAUAAGAAAGAAUUUUUAAUAUUAUUAAUGAGCAUGUAGAAAGUUAAAAUAUUUUCAAAUUUGUCCAGGCAUAUUAGACCGGGCGACUAGGACAACCUUUUGGAGAGGUCAAUGCCCAAGUAUCAAAUAGAUUUAUCUUUGUUGGAUAAAAUACCCAAAUUAUAUAAUGUAGUAUAAAUGAUUUAUUCUCAAUUUCUCAGAUUGUUUCCAAUGGUGACCCUGAGAUUUGGCAAAGCAAAUAAGGAGAAACCCUCAAAAACCACACAGAGAAAGCUGUGGACUUUGAUAAGUGUGUAGUAGAUGGGUGUGUAAACAUUGCCCCAAGGUGUUUACAGGGACAAGCAAGAGUGGAACCACACACUUGAAUAACCACUUGAAAGUAUGUCCUGGUAAGAAGAAACAAAAUCAAGAAAGCCAGUUGAUACCAAUGAAAGAAGCUCAAUGUUUGAUCAAGAAAGAAGUUGCAUGAAUUUUGCAAAAAUGGUUAUUAAGCAUCGAUAUCCAUUGGAAAUGGCUGAUCAAGUUUCUUCAAGAAUUUUGUGAAAGAUAUGCAACCCAUGUUUAAGUUUCAAUCGAAAGUCUUAUAUAUGUAUAUGUAUACGCAUGUCAUCUGAACAAAUAAGGCAAUACAGUUCCUUCUUCUCUAAGGUCUUUCCUUUUUUUGUUCUCAGUGCCUCUCAAAGAAUCAGAGAGCUGCUUUAUGUUGGGAAGAAACCGAACAACCGAAACAAAGCGAAAGCACAACCGGUGUUCUUUCUCUCCUUAUAACUCCUGUCAAAAAUUAUGGCAAGCACAAUAGCACAAGAUAUGUUCUCUAGCAACCUUAAUCAACCACAAAUCAACUAAUGCAACCACAACAAAAAAUAAAUAGAGACACCGAUAUUUUUACGUGGAAAACCCCUCUAAAUUAAGGGUAAAAACCACGGGACUUUAGAGUCCGAUAAAGAGCUCCACUAUCAUCAAAUGUUCAACUACAAGAUCACAAUAUCAAGCCUACAACAAGCAUUCAACUCCGACAAGGCUAACAACAUGUAAUCUAUAGCAAAAGAGAGAAAAAUGAGAGAACAUCACCAAAAAACGUAGCUGCUGAAAAAUGGGUAUUUCCGACGCUACAAGACUCGGAUGAAAAAUCCGACCGUACAAAGUCAAGAACACCUUAUCACCUAGCUGCUGUCCAAAAAUCAGCUCAAUCGAACCACGGAUGGACCUUCGAUCGAAGAGUUGAUCACUGCUGCACCAAGCUUGAAAAACUGAUUUUUCUAUUCNNNNNNNNNNNNNNNNNNNNNNNNNNNNNNNNNNNNNNNNNNNNNNNNNNNNNNNNNNNNNNNNNNNNNNNNNNNNNNNNNNNNNNNNNNNNNNNNNNNNNNNNNNNNNNNNNNNNNNNNNNNNNNNNNNNNNNNNNNNNNNNNNNNNNNNNNNNNNNNNNNNNNNNNNNNNNNNNNNNNNNNNNNNNNNNNNNNNNNNNNNNNNNNNNNNNNNNNNNNNNNNNNNNNNNNNNNNNNNNNNNNNNNNNNNNNNNNNNNNNNNNNNNNNNNNNNNNNNNNNNNNNNNNNNNNNNNNNNNNNNNNNNNNNNNNNNNNNNNNNNNNNNNNNNNNNNNNNNNNNNNNNNNNNNNNNNNNNNNNNNNNNNNNNNNNNNNNNNNNNNNNNNNNNNNNNNNNNNNNNNNNNNNNNNNNNNNNNNNNNNNNNNNNNNNNNNNNNNNNNNNNNNNNNNNNNNNNNNNNNNNNNNNNNNNNNNNNNNNNNNNNNNNNNNNNNNNNNNNNNGAUCUAGCAUGAAAAGUUGAGUUCUUACCAAGAUGAAUAGCACUCUGGCUAUCACAGUACAUGACAUACUUCUCCUGAGUAAAACCAAGCUCAUGCACAAACUUCUUCAUCCAAGCAUCUCCUUACAUGCUUCGGUUGCUGCAAUGAACUCUGAUUCGGUGGUGGACAAUGCAACACACUUUUGCAGUCUCGAUUGCCAUGCCACAGCUCCCCCUGCAUAAGUGAUUAAGUAACCUGAAGUAGAUCUCCUCGAGUCAAUGUCUCCGGCCAUGUCUGAAUCUGUAUACCCAACAAGAACAGGUUUCUCAUUGCCGAAACAAAGUUUCAUGUUGGAGUGCCACGAAGAUAUCUCAUAAUCCACUUCACUGCAUUCCAUGCUCUCUGCCUGGAUUAGAAAGAAACCGACUAACUGUACCAACGGCAUAAGCCAAGUCUGUCUCGUGCAAACCAUUGCGUACAUCAAAACUACCCACGGCUGAAGAGUAAGGAAUUUCUGCAUCUCUUCCUUCUCCUUUUCUGUGGAAGGACUAUGCUUAACACUCAUCUAAAGUGCAUAGCAAAGGGAGUAUUCACCGCUUUAGCUUUGUCAUACUAAACCUUUGAAGUACUUUCUCAAUGUACCUCUCUUGUGAUAACCAUAAUUUCUUGGCCUUUCUAUCACGUGUCAGUCUUAUGCCAAGAAUUUGCUUUGCUGGCCCCAAAUCCUUCAUUGCAAAGGAUUUACUCAACUCUUGUUUCAACUUCUCAAUUCUAGAAGCAUUCUGACCAACAAUAAGCAUAUCAUCAACAUAGAGCAAAAGAAUAAUAAAAUCAUCACCAGAGAAUCUCUUAACAAACACACAAUGAUCAGAAGUAGUCUUCUUGUAGCCUUGCUCCCCCAUAACAGACUCAAACUUCUUGUACCAUUGCCUUGGAGCUUGCUUCAAACCAUACAAGCUCUUCUUCAAUCUGCACACAUAGUCCUCUUUCCCUUGUGCAACAAAACCCUCUGGCUGCUCCAUGUAAAGCUCUUCUUCCAAGUCACCACGAAGAAAGCAGUUUUCACAUCCAUUUGUUCAACCUCUAGGUCAUAACAAGCUACCAAACUCAGUAUAGUUCUGAUAGAGGACAUCUUUACAACCGGAGAAAAUAUUUCUUCAAAAUCAACCCCUUUUUUCUGAGUAUAACCCUUGACGACCAAUCUAGCUUUGUAUCGUGGAGAUGAAGACUUCUCUUCUUGCUUCAACCUGUAACCCACCGAUUAUUCAAAGCUCUUUUGCCCUUAGGCAGUUUCACCAAUUCAAAAGUAUGGUUCUCAUGCAAGGAUUGAAGUUCGUCUUUUCAAUCGCUUCAAACCCACUGAUCUUUGCAUUCACUCUCCAUAGCCUCUUCAUAACAUUCAGGUUCUCCCCGUCAGUCAAAAGAACAUAUUCAUCAGGAGGAAUACCUGACAGAAGAUCGUCGAUCUCUGGAAGACCUUCGAAGUGGAACUGCUGGUGGAGCUAUAGGUGCUUGUUGUUGAUCAUUCACAACAUCAUCCAUGGGAGUAUCAAAGUCACCUAUAGUCUGAUGGUUACCACUAACAUCACCAUGCACAUCAUCCUGGAUAGGAUCUGGUGAAGAGUCUAGGGGAACCGGAUUCACAUCGAUCAAGUCACCACUACCUUGUGAAUCCACUUUCUCCGUCUUAUCAAUGUCAUCAAUGGUCUGAUCCUCAAUGAAGACAACAUCUCUGCUUCUCACGAGUUUCUUCUGAACUGGAUCAUAGAGUCUAUAACCAAACUCACCAUCUAGACCAUAACCAAUAAAAAUGCAUUGUCGAGCCUUGGCAUCCAACUUGGAUCUUUCAUCCUUUGGAACAUGAACAAAUGCUUUACAACCGAACACACGUAGGUGAUCAUAUGACACGUCUUUACCAAACCAAACUCUAUCUGGCACAUCACCUUUCAAAGGAACACUAGGAGACAGAUUUAUCACAUGUGUCACUGUAUUCAAAGCUUCAGCCCAAAAUGAUCUUGGUAACUUUGCAUCUGACAACAAACAUCUGACUCUCUCAAUCAAUGUUCGGUUCAUUCUUUCAGCUAACCCAUUUAACUGUGGAGUCUUUGGUGGUGUUCUCUGAUGUCUGAUGUCUGAUUCCCUGUCGCAGACAAUACUCAUGAAACGACCCUGUGUACUCGCCACCAUUAUCAGUACGAAUGCACUUCAACUUUUUCCCAGUUUCCCUUUCAACUGAUGCUUGAAACUGUUUAAACACCUCAAAGACUUGAUUUUUAGACUUCAAAGUGUAAACCCAUAGCUUUCUUGAACAAUCAUCAAUGAAAGUCACAAAGUAAAGUGCACCACCAUGUGAUCUUACUUUUAUCGGACCACAAACAUCUGAAUGGACCAACUCUAGCAACUCUGAUUUCCUAUGAGGAGGAUGGCUUCUAAAUGAAACUCUUUUCUGCUUUCCUGCUAGACAAUGAGCACAAUUCUUCAGUGUAGCAUUCUUUAAACCCGAAAGUUGAUUCUUCUUCGCUAAACAGCUAAGCCCCUUCUCACUCAUGUGACUGAGUCGUUUAUGCCACAACUCAAUUGAGCUGUCAUUCAGUGUCACAUUCACCAUCUCUCGAGAAGUCAAAGCUUGCAUCAAGUACAAAUUUGAGCUCUUCUUUCCUCGAGCCACAACUAAGGAGCCUUUAGUCAGCUUCCACUGCCCUUCACUGAAGGUGUUACAAAAUCCCUCAUCAUCAAGUUUUCCUGCAGAAAUCAAAUUCAAACGGACAUCCGGUGCAUGUCUGACAUCCUUGAGAGUUAACUUUGUUCCAUUGUUACUUACCAAGCUAACAUCUCCCAUACCAAUAACCGAAACCAAACCAUCAUUACCCAUCUUCAAUACCCCAAAAUCACCAGGAGUAUAAGAUGUGAAGAAUUCCUUCCUCGACGUGACAUGAAGUGAUGCACCAGUAUCAAUCACCCAACUAGUCUCGUCGCAUGCUAGGUUGACCAAAUUCUCAUCACAAAUAACUAACAAAUCUUCACGAGUAACAGUAGCAACACGCUCGGAUUUUUCAUCGUCAUUCCGGUCGUGUUUAUCACCACCACCUUUGUUCUCUUUCUUCCACUUGAAGCAAUAUUUCUUGAUAUGACCUUUCUUACCACAAUGAUGACACUCAAGAUUCUUGUAUCUCGAUCUUGACUUGCUUCGGCUUUUAUCUCUACCCUUUCCAUCUUUGUCUCUGUUUCUCCCCCUGUUCUCGAUAACCAACACCUCGGACUGUGAUGUAGAACCCUGAGAUCUUCUUCUAACCUCUUCAUUCAACACACCACUCUUAGCCAAAUCCAAAGUAAUAAUACCCUGUGGGGCAGAAUUAAUGAGUGAGACUCGAAAGGUCUCCAAGAGUCUGGUAGAGUAGCAAGCAACCAAAGUCCUAAAAUCUCGUCAUCAAAUUUGACACCCAUACCAAGCAACUGAUUCAUCAUACUCUGAAAUUCACUAACAUGGUCAGCUAUAGACAUUCCUUCUUUAUAUUUCAGCGCCAUCAUUUUCUUCAGCAAAAUAACUUGUUAUUGCCCGACCUCGAAGCAUACAAGCUUUCAAGCUUCUCCCACAAUGUUCGAGCAUGUGUCUCCUGAUCAAUGUGAUUGUAAACAUUUUCUUCAACAAAUUGCCGAAUAAAGCCACACACUUGUUGAUGCUCAAAUUCCCAUUCUUCAUCACUUUUCGAAUCGGGUUUUUGAGUAGUAAAGACCGGAAGAUGCAAAGCCUUCACAAACAACAAGUCCUUCAUUUUAUUCCGCCAAAGUUGAUAAUUUGUGCCAUUCAACAUAAUCAUCUUGCUCGUAUUAAUUUCCAUAAUUAUCUGACACAAUAACCUAGAUCUGGUACCAGUUUGUUGGGAAGAAACCGAACAACCGAAAUAAAGCGAAAGCACAACCGGUGUUCUUUCUCUCCUUAUAACUCCUGUCAAAAAUUAUGGCAAGCACAAUAGCACAAGAUAUGUUCUCUAGCAACCUUAAUCAACCACAAAUCAACUAAUGCAACCACAACAAAAAAUAAAUAGAGACACCGAUAUUUUUACGUGGAAAACCCCUCUAAAUUAAGGGUAAAAACCACGGGAUUUUAGAGUCCGAUAAAGAGCUCCACUAUCAUCAAAUGUUCAACUACAAGAUCACAAUAUCAAGCCUACAACAAGCAUUCAACUCCGACAAGGCUAACAACAUGUAAUCUUUAGCAAAAGAGAGAAAAAUGAGAGAACAUCACCAAAAAACGUAGCUGCUGAAAAAUGGGUAUUUCCGACGCUACAAGACUCGGAUGAAAAAUCCGACCGUACAAAGUCAAGAACACCUUAUCACCUAGCUGCUGUCCAAAAAUCAGCUCAAUCGAACCACGGAUGGACCUUCGAUCGAAGAGUUGAUCACUGCUGCACCAAGCUUGAAAAACUGAUUUUUCUAUUCUCUUUCUCUCUAUUUUUUUUUUUUAGCUCUCUGCAGAAAUUUCUGCCCACUCCCACGUUAAUAAGCCAAAAAAUUGGCUUUUGACAAAACCAAAAGAAAAGGAAGGCAAAACAUUGUGGCAGAAAAUAUGGGUUUCCCACAUAGUGGGACCCAUACCCAACACUUUAGCUGAAAUAACCGAUGUUUUACGAGCUGUAUGUCAUGCGCAUAGCUUGCCUUUGGCUCUAACAUGGAUUCCUUGUAAUUACACCGUGGAAGCUGAGGAUGAAUAUACAAAAAUGUGUGUUAGAGAGGGUACUAAGAGUUGGGAUGGGAAGUGUGUUUUAUGCAUCGAAGAUACAGCUAGCCUUUUACGUUAAUGAAAAAGAGAUGCAAGAUUUUGUGCAUGCAUGUGUGGAACAUUAUCUCGAAGGAGGAUAGGGUAUAGCCGGAAAAGCACUUCAAUCCAAUCAUCCGUUCUUCUCUGCAGAUGUAAAGACAUAUGACGUAAGUGAUUAUCCACUCGUCCACCAUGCACGUAAGUUUAACCUGAAUGCUGCAGUUGCAAUCCGGCUGAGGAGCACCUACACCGGUGAUGAUGAUUAUAUACUCGAGCUUUUUCUACCUAUUAACAUGAAAGGAAGUUUGGAACAACAACUCUUGUUGAAUAACCUCUCGGGCACCAUGCAACGAAUCUGUAGGACUUUGAGAACUGUUUCACAUGCAGAAAUUGUCGGAGAACGGUCAACAAUGGAGUUUCAGAGGGUAACGGUCCCGCCCUUCUCCUCAAUGUCUCUGUGUCAGAGGAGCUCAGAAACAGCAUUAUCUGCUGAUAGUGACAUGAAUUCCAAUAAUGCCAUUCCUUUUAAUGAAUCUAAUUCAAUAAGUGAUGGUCCUCUUGAUACAUUCUUCUACUUCGUAUUUUUCGGGAUAAAAAUAAAUUCUGGAGAAAUUAACGAAUACUUUAAAACAUGCAUUAAUAUCACUCUAUUUUAAAAUUUUAUUUGUCCCCACCUAUAUUAUAGUCUACAAAAGAAUGAUUGACAAAUGAAAUUAGAGGAUACAAUGAAGUCCAAUAACUGUCUAUAUCUUGUAGUGAUGGAAAUAAUUUGCUAAGUAUUCAGUAGAGCAUAACAAAGAUAUCAAUUUUUAUAAAAAAUUGUGUAGUAAUUCUUUAUAUAGAAUAAUCUAGGAAUAUAAAAGAUUGUGUGAGAAUAAAGUUUUUGGGUAUAUCGUACAAAUGAAAUUCCUCUUUUAUAAAUAAAAGAUCUCAUGUCUCUUUAAAUGAACAUAACUACCCAAAUGUAUAGUCAUAUAUUUAGCCAUAAACAUAAUUAUUUAAUAGAUAUCUACUUGAAUAAUUAUAACAAUUUGUUAUUAAUUAAGUGAUAUAACUUUUGAUGACAAGAGACAUAAUUGAUCAUUAUAAAUAGUGACAACUCUUACUUAAUAACCAAGUGACACUGUUUUUGGAUCUUGUAUUUUUUCGUAUGUAACUAUUAAAACACUAUAUAUAUUUUAAAAAUAUUUAUCAACAAAAAUCUCGAAUUUUUGGUCUACUAAUUAUAAUCUCAAAUCUGUGCCUUAAUUUUUCUCUCUUUGAAGAUUAAUAAUUUAUUCUCUUUGAUGAUUAAGAAUGAAAGAUAAUUAGAAAGAAGGAUUAGCCAUUUUCAUAUUAAAAAAUUAUCCAAAAGUAAUCAUUUUUAUUUAAUUGAUUGCUCAUGCAUUCUUUUUUUGAUAUAUACCAUAGAAGAUUCCUCUCUCUGUAAAAAAUAGACAAGUUUGACUCUUUCAAAAUCCAUGGAAGAUUUUAAAAUUGAAUCAUCAUCAUCUUCCAUCGAAUUUUAAAAUGGCAACAGUCACCCUGAUGAUUGACAGACACACCAUUGCAGACCAUGCCAUUUAUUCUUUUGGAAUUUAUAUUUUUAAAAGAUUGUAUGUAAAUAAUAAAUUAUUUAAGAUAAUAUAAUGAAUGUACAAUUAGUUUGAAGCUCCCUCAAAAUUAGGUAAGGGAUGAUGUCCAUCAACUCAUAAAUAUUUCUUUCUCAAUAUAUAAUUAAAAGAAUAAUGUGCGAACUUAUAUCUUUUUACAUUAAUAACAAUAUUUAUAUCGAUUAACUGAAAUUUAAUCUUAUUAUAUAUUAUACCAUUUAUGUCAAUAUUUAAUGAGCUGUUUUCUUACCUAUUCCACCAAUACCUCCGUGGCAUACAUUUGUAUAUCAGUUUUCAGCAGGAAAGAGAAGUGUUUUCAGCAAAGUGACAACGCAGGCCUACUAAAGAAAUGCAAAUAAGGUGACUUUGGGGAAAUUUCAAUGUCUUAAUUUCUGACUUUCGAUGCAGUCUUUAUACAUUCUAUAUUAAAGAAAUGUUUCGACUUUGAAUGUUGGAAAUUUCAAAAUGACAAAUUCAACGAAAUUCAUUUCUCAUUUAUGUACCACAAACUUCAUUUACACAUAAUAAUAAUAAUAAUAAUAAUAAUAAUAAUAAUAAUAAUAAUAAUAUAAUCCGUGUUGGGUGAUAAUUAAAAUAUCAAUUUAUCUAAAUUUUUAAUGAAAAUGCAAAUAAACAAAAAAAAAACCCUCAUAAAAAUAUAAUUGAAGAAUCAAUGUGGGAGGAACUAAACGCUAAUAGAUUUGAUUAUGAGUGUAAUUGAGCUAACCUGAGCUCUAAUAGUUGUAAGCUCAAGUUUGAUUCAAAACUUGAAGCUUAAUGUUCAGGUCGAGUUUGAUUGAGCAUUGAUUUUUAAGCUCGAGAUUGAUUCGAGAUAUAAUUGAGUAACUCAAGUUCAAGUUUAAUUAAGCAUAUUUUGGCAUAAAAUUUUUAUUUUUGGAUUUCAAACGUUAUUUUCAGUCAACACAUUCCCAACAAUAUAAGAUUUUGGGUUAUAAAGAAUAAUCUCAAUAACACAUAUUCCUUACAUAAACGAAAAUAUAAUAAUAAUAACUAAUGCAUCAACUUCUAUAAUUCUUUGAAUUAUUCUUCAUGUAACAUUUCAACUAUAUAUAUUUGUUGAUUGUCAUCUACCCUCUAGUUCCUUGACCUAAGAUAAUCUGAAAGCUUCACAUGCCAUUAAAGGUUAAGGCUUAAUUAUGGCUAACUUUGCACAAAGGGAUCCCUUCUAAAUGUUUUCUUAGGAGCAGAGGAGUCAUUGCCGAUAAGGAUCGUGUGUUUUGUUCUUGGUGCUGUAUUGACAUGGAGGAAAAUUAUGACCAUAUUCUUCUCGUAUGCAAUAUUUCUUAGUCCACAUGGGGUAUGUUGAAAACUAUAGAAUGAUUGAGAAGUAUUUGAGGAAGUGCCCAUUUCCCUAUCAAUUACGACACGUUGGUUUGUUUUCAUAUUUAGGUGAUUGAUAAUUUAUUAAACCAGAUUUUUAGAUUGUGACCAUAUUAUAGAUUGUACUUAACCCAUCAAUGAAGAUCAUAUCACUUGGAGAUUCACUUUUGAAGAAUCAAACCUAAUCACAUAUAUCUAAUCCCUUGUAUCAAGAAAGUUAGAUUGGAUCGAAACAUUGAAGAUCUAGCUGCCGGCGGUCCUUGUUUACCUUAUUUGUUAUAUUAUUAUAUUAUAUUUAGCUUAUUUAGUUAUUGAAUAGGAAUUGGUGAUAGAUCUUUUGUAAUAUCCCAUAUCUGAUCCGACCAUCAAGUCCGAACUAUAAGACGCAACACGAGAACUAUGAUCAACUAUAUUCAAAUUCCUUCAUUAGAAAUUUAAAUACAAGUGUUGCAUGCAUAAAACAUGAUAUAUAAACAUUUUCAAGGAUUAUAUGAGCUUCCGAAAGCUCAAUACCAUCCUGGGAUCGAAUGAAGACUAAACUACAAGGUUUUCAAAACUUCUAGGGCUAGUGUUGCAAGUUCCAAGGUUCAAUGUCACGACUUUGAAGACAUCAAGUAAGUUUUCCAACCUAAGGAUCAAAUUAUAAAAAUUUUAAAAUAAAACAAAGCCAACGUUGCGACGAGGCCAGGGUACGUCACGACGAAAUAACCUGGUGUCACGAUAUUCCGAACAGUCGACUAUGUUCAAAUUCCAUACAUUUCCAAACUAACCUAAGAUUACAAUGGUUGACUAUACGGUCCCAAAAUGACCACUCCCACAUAUAAAAUAAGGUUUAAAUCAUGUAUAACAUGCAAACAUACUAUAUUGGUAUUCAUCAUGAUAUAUUGCUUAGCUAUUUCACGUUGCUACCUUAAACUUACCAACUUAUGUAUAUUUACAUCAUUACCCCAAGUAGCAUUAAGCACAACCGAAACCAUGCAUUAAGUAGUUCACUUAUCAAGCUUAACAAACAAAUUCAACCACUAUCUCAAUUGCCACAUAAUAAAUCAUUCAAAAUGACCAUUUGUAGAAUUAAAUGUACUUAUAUAUAUAUGUCACUAUAUCUAGACUCAAAAUGAACAUAAUUUUAUUGUCUUGUUGAUAGUGUGUGCUUCACGUUGGUCUAACUCAACAAGUUUUGCAAGGUGAUAACCCUAUACAUACAAAUAAGGAAACAAUUAGAAUAAACAUACAAAUGCUUGACAAAUUCAAAUGAAAAAAAAAACCUAUGCUUAGAUCACCUUUGAGCAUAUUAAUUACCAACACUUUUGACAUACAUUUGGCUAUCCUUGAAAUAUCAUGUCAUAGCUAACACAUGCCUAGACACCCAAAUAGAUUAGACACUUUAACAUAUCAAGAAUAACACAUCAUUUCAUGCCAAAGCACUUACAUACCAUUUAUCAAGUUACAAAAGUAUACCAUUCCAAAUUGAAUCCCAAUUCAUGCUAACAUGUGAAUGCCACAUUUUACACUACUCAUUUCAAUAAAUUUAUAAAUUUCUAAUUUCAAUUUGUGCAAUGGAAUUCUAGUAAACUGAUUCGGAUAUACAAGUGAACUACAUAAGAUUAGGUUGCUCAUUCGAGUUAAAAUUUCACAAGAUUACGCAUCCGAGCUAAAAGUAUAGAAGAUUAUUUAUCCGAGCUGAAAUUACACUAAAUCAAGUUACUCAUCUAAGCUAAAUCUAUACCAAAUUCUUCGUAGAGACACAUAUCCUACAAACAUGCAUAUAGCUCUAUUAACAUUUUAAUCGUGUCCAAACCUUUUAAUUGUAUCUUAACCUCUUACUAAUUAAUUUCACAUAAACAUCUAAUAUACUUAUUUUCAUUAUCAUCUCUAUAAUCAAUCAUGCUUGAUGGUACGCUUUACAUAUCACUUCCUGUACCCCUCUUUAAAGAAAAGAAAGAAAAGUCAAAGUAGAAACAGUGAGUAUUCAGCGUGAGUGAGGUUUCUAUCAAUGACGCGCUUUAAAUAAAAUACAUAGUUUCAACCAUAUUUCUAUUCAGCUUUACCCAAACUGUGUUGAACCUCAGCUUGUUCCAUGGCUUCUUCUUUUCCUCACACCGCCUUGAGAUUGUUACUAUCCAGCGCUAAAGCUAUUGAAGAUGGGGAUCUGAAAAGCGCCGAUGCGUUCCUUCACGAUAUCUUGAUUCUUGCUGAUCAGAGACCCUACUGGUUUCGAGAUCAAAGCAGAGUGGUGAAAUACUUUGCGGACGCACUGGUUCGCCGAGCCUACGGACUGCAUCCUGCUUCUUCCCCCUUCACUUUCCCGGUGGAUCCUGCACCAUAUUAUCAUCAUAACAGCUACCAUAUUAAUGGCGUCAUAGAAAAAGUUAUCGAUGAUGCUUCAAUGGAAAAGAAUACUUUGAUGGGAAAUAGGCGAUUGCACCUUAUUGAUUUCACCAUUCGUUACAGUUUGGGGAAUUCAGUUCUUCGUACACUACCGAGCUUCUCCGGCAGUCCUCCAUCCGUCCGUGUAAGUUACAUACUUCCACCAUUUCUGAAAAAAACAUGUAGAUGUCUCACGGCGCCAAAUGAAGUUUUUGACUAGGGAUGCCAAGGAAGUUAAUGUAAAGUUGGAGGAUGAGAUGACAGUGGUUUACGCCAAUAGUUUGGCAGAAGUGGAUGGAUGUGAAUUAGAUUUAAAAAGUAGAGAAGAUGAAAUGGUGGUGGUUUACUAUAAAUUUAAACUUCAUAAGUUGGUAGCAGAUGCAAAAGCAAUGAAGAGAGAGUUGGUAAGAUUGAGGCAGAUAAAUCCGACGAUUGUGAUCGUGCUAGACUUCUAUUCUAAUCAUACCCACUCCAAUUUCUUGACAUGUUUGGAGGACUCUUUUCAGUAUUCCUCCAAUACUUGCAUAAACUGGUGUGGGUCGGCCAUUUUUUCGGAUGAUGAGUAUUUGUGGGAGAGCAACAUAGACGCAUGGGAAGGUAAUAAUGUAAUUAGGCGGCACCAAACUUUGAGUGAAUGGCAACGUCUCUUUUCAGUGGCUGGUUUUACCCGAAUUCCAUUAAUCCACAGGAAAAGCGUUGAGGAUGAAAGUUUCUUAGAAAUAAUGAGGGAGGAAGAAGAGUGUUUGAUUUUAGGGGACAAGGGAUGUCCAAUGUUUUUCUUAUCGGCAUGGAAACCCAAAGUUGAAGAUCCACACUUCAAUUCCAGUUCCACCAACGAUAUGUUUGAACAAGGUACUUUUCUUUUUCUUUUCUCAAAUUAAUUAAUAAUAAUUUAUAUAUUAUCAUUAGUUUAAUAAUAUAUUCAAUAUUAUAAUUUAUUUUAAGUUUAAAAAUAUAAUUUCAGGACAUUAUUAGUUAAACAGAAACAGACCAAAUAAAUCAUAUAUUAAAUAUAAGUUCAGUUAAACAGAAACUGACCAAAUUAAUUAAUAUUAAAUCAUCUUCAAUCGUCUUUUCUUUAACUUAUUUUUAUUUAUUGGAUAAAAGGUAUUUUUGUUUAUCAUUAGAUUGACUAAUUGUAAUGGAAUUUCUUUGUAGGUUUCAAUCCAUAUCCAUCACCUCUUCACCCUCUUCAACCAUUUCCCGAGGUAUUAACUUUCAUUUAUUUUUUUAUUUUCAUCCAAAAUACGAGAUUUUGUAUCUCGCUACGUAGGGAUUAAAAUAAUUAAUUAUAAAAAAAAUAUUUUAAUUAUAUUAAAUUAUUAGUAAGCGACAACUAAAAUUAGAAGUUAACUUAAAUAAUUGAAAGACAUUUUGUAAAACAUGAAUUCAUGAACUUGCAAAAAUUUAUAUAAAAUAAUUAUCGAAAAGUUUUAUUUUAUUAUUUUAUUAUUAUGAAAUUACAUUUAUGAUAAUUAUUAAGAUAUCGGGUACCAAUUAAUUUAAAUUAAUUCAAUCUUUUAUAUGCAUCAUUUAAAACUAAAAAUAAAAUUAAAACUAAAAUACUCAUUUCCAAAUAAAUCAGUGUACAUAUCGAUUAGUUUGUUUAAGUAUAUCAUUUAAACUAAAAAUAAAAAUAGUUAAUAAAUUUAAUUUAAGGUUAAUUAAUUAAAAUUGUUUGAACAAUCUUAUUAUAGACUGUAAUCAUAUCUGCUCUUUAUAAUAUUAUAUCUAAAAUUACCAUAAUCUCUCCCCAACACAUAAAAAAUAGGAUAAUGCGCUUUAAUACACUCAAUCAACAAUAUUAAUUAAUUAACAUCACGAUUAACAUGAAAAUUAAUUAAAAUGUAGCAUAAAUAAAAAAUUAAUAUAUAAGCAUAUUAAAAUAUACAUAAAAGAUAUCGAAACAUAAUUUUUCGCUAAUUUCUUUUCCCCUCUUUCAUUUUCAUUUUUCCUUGGGGUCAAUAAACUUUUGAUCCUCGAACUUGAUAUUUUUUUCCCACCAUCGCCCCUAAUUGUUUUUGGUCCUUUUAUUUUUGGAACUUGGUAGCUUUUCCUAAUUUGAUCCUUGAACUUUAAUUCUUUUAAGGAAUUAUGAUGUCACAUUUUGAGAUUAUUUUGCAUCAUCACCUAAAUUUUUUUAAGAACUUAUAAUUUUUGUAUGUAUUUAAUAUAUUUUUUGUAUUUUUAUAUUAUAUAUUUUUAAAUUUAGAUGAUGAUGUGGCACAAUCUCAAAGUCAUUUCACCACACCUUAAUGGAAUUGAAUUUUAGUGGUCAAAUUGGGAAAAAUUGUCAAGCUCUGAGACAAAUGUGGAUAAAAAAGUUGAAGGACCAAAUUGAAAAAAAUAUAAAAUUCAAGGACUAGAGGUUGCUUUAUCCCUUUCUUCUUUUGUCUUCGUUACCCGUUUCCGUUUUCUUUUUUAACUUUAAAGUGCUCUUUCUUUUAUCUACAGUGCUCACUAGGUUUGUUCUUUUUAUAUAUAUGUAAUAGAUUUAUUGUUAAUUAUUGAAAAAAUUCUAUAAAAAAAUAUUGAUAAAUUUUAAUCAGAUUAAAAGCAUAAUUGCACUUAUUCAAAAAUAAGUAAAAUUUUUAAUUAUUUCGCCCUAAUUAAAGGUAUUUAAAUAAUAUUUUUAUUAAAAUUAAUUAUAAAAAAUAUCAAUAUUAAUAUAAAAAUAUUUUAAUUUUGAAAUAGUAAAAUGAAUUAUUUUAGAUAGUCUUGAUUUGAAUCAAAUGAGCUUUUAAAUGCUCAAUUUGAUUUAUGAAUAUCUCUCAGAAAAAUCAAAUUUAUUUGAACAAGUAUAGUUAUGAGCUUAUGUUUUUUAAUUUUUUAAAAUUAUAAAUAAUUAACAAAAAAACAUCUUUUAUUUUUAUUUUUUAUCACAUUAAGAGUACAAUGUCAAAAAUCUUUUCAUUUAGAGUGUGAUUUCAAAUUUUGCUUGUGAUAAUUGCUUUUUAUUUAAUAAUUUUACAGGGUUUGACAUUGAAUCGAUUAGCUGCUUUUGCCGAGAUACAUGACAUGUCAAAAUAUUUAUGUUGCAAAUAUGAGCUUCCUUUGGCUUUGACAUGGGUUUUGAAGGUUAACAAUACGAAUGAAAUUAUGUGGGAUCUAAAUAAGAAAUACACUUUUUUAAUCCAAAGUAGUUCUUGUUAUGUGAAAGACUGGAAGUCUUAUCGAUUUAUGGAUAAAUGUGAAUUUUUUAUGUCUAAGAAACCUAUUGUUGAGAAAGCACUUGAAUCAAGGAUCGGCUUCCAUUUUAAACCAUCUAUUGCUCAACUUGACAAACGAUACUACCCAUAUCUUAAAUAUGUAGAGAAUUAUAAUAUAGAUGUUGUUGUUGCCAUCUGUCUACAAAAUCGUUACACAAGCAAUGAUAUUUAUGGAGUCGAAUUUUAUUGGCCUGCAACUGAGAUUGAAAAAUCAAAAUCUUUGGUUUUUCAUAUCUUCAAUGACUUGAAACAUAUGAAAACAAAGUUUGUAACAGUAAAGAUUGAAGGAACUAAAAUUGGGUUCCAAGAAGAAGCCAUUUCAAGCAUUCCCACAUCAUCAAACACAAUAAGGUCUUUAAAAACAGCUGAAGAAGCAAAGGAAGUUUAUGCAGUAGAAGUAAAUGAGCUUAAUCUUCGGGAAAUUACAUUAUCUUAUAUAUUAUUAUAUCAUUUCAACACUGAACUAAUCCAUAAAAUAGCAUUCAUGGUUCUAAUGAUGAUAAUAACAUUUGCUUUUAAUGAUGAAUUAAUCAAGACAAAGGCUGAGGAGGUAUCAUCUUCACAUACCAACAUCUUACCAACUGCUGGACAAGAGACCGAACUUAUUUCUUUUGAAGAAGAAGAAGCAGAAGAAGAAACGAAACCAUCUCAGCGACCUGAAAUUUCUAAGACCGUGCUUAAUGAAAUUGAAGAAAUUUCCACCAGUCACGAAACAGAAUCUGAGACUAGUUUACCAGCAGCAAGUCAAAUUCCUGAAUCACUAAAAACUGUCAACCAAUCAGUUGAACCUCCUAUUGAAGUGGGAGCAUUCAUCUCUCCCCAAAGAGAGAUAUCCUCGUUAGAUACACUUUCAGUAGCAUCUUCGGAAGAGGAAAUUCUACUUACUGAUGAAGUGGAGACUAAGGGUCCUAGUCAAACUAAUGCCAAGGCAAAUGUUGAGCGCACUGUGUUGCAGAUUUUGGAACUUUUGAGCAAUGAUACAGUCAGAAGAAUUGGUGUUUGUGGCACUGGAAAGGUUGGGAAGACGACUGUGCUGAAAGCCUUUAUUGAUCAUCCCCAGAUAAAUGGCAUGUUUGAUUUGAUCAUUUGGGUGACAGUAUCAAAAUACUGGAGUAUAAGGAAGAUGCAGGAUGAAGUUUUAAGGCAAUUAUCAACAGAUUUCAAGGCUGAAUCUGAAAAUAGAGAAGAAUUGCUCCGAUAUUUGGCAGGCAGGAAGUUUUUGCUUGUUUUGGAUGAUGUCUGGGAGAGUAUAGAUUUAGAAGCAGUUGGUAUUCCUGAUCCUAGCUCGGAAAAUGGCAGUGCGAUAAUACUGGCAACUAGGAAUUUGGAGGUUUGUGAUAACAUGCGUUUCAUAAAUAUGAUCGAAGUUGGAACUCUUUCUAAUGAAGAAGCAUGGAAGCUGUUCUGUGAACAAGUAGGUAGAGUUGUCAACAUACCAGGUAUCCUGCCCUUUGCUCGAGUUAUCGCUGAGAGGUGUGGAGGUCUGCCUCUGCUGGUUAUUGUCACUGGAAGAGCUCUGUCUGGGGAAGAAGAUGUCUUUGCAUGGGAACAAGCAUUCAAGCAAUUUUCAGGGCCUUGUGGAGAUCUAAGAAGCCGAAAAGACAUAAUCCAAUUGUUAAAAUUCAGUUUUGACCGAUUGCAGGUUCAUGACAUACAGAGUUGCUUCCUUCAUUGUGCUUUAUUUCCUGAAGAUCAAGAGGUUAAUAUUUCUGAAUUUGUUACAUAUUGUAUCGAAGAAGGUUUGAUUGCUGGGAAUACGGCUGAUGCAUAUAAGAGGAGCCAUGAGAUAAUUACUGUUCUCGUACGUGCCUUUUUGUUAGAAACUGCUUCCAAUUCUUCCAUCAUAAUGCAUGAUAUGAUAAGAGACUUGGCAUUGGCCAUCUUGUUGCAGGAGAAAGGCAGUCAAUUUCUGUUAAGAGCUUACUCAAAACCGGUGAGCCGAGAAAACCAUUCAUCACUCGUACUACGUGAAAGCCCCGAGAACAAUAGAUUGUUUAUUCCUGAUGGUUGUCAAUUCAUAUUGAGAGGCGGUUCAAGACUGACCCAACCACCUUCAGUAGAGGAAUGGGGAAAGUCUAGUAUGAUCUUUUUGAUGGACAAUAAUUUGUCCGCUUUACCUGAGAGCCCAAGUUGCCCUGGACUUCUGACACUGUUUCUUCAAAGAAAUUUCAGGCUCAGAGUGAUAGCCGUGUCCUUUUUUGACUGCAUGCCUUGUUUGAAAGUGCUAAACUUGUCAAAUACCCGAAUAAAGUCUCUGCCAAGAACAAUUUCAAAACUUGUAAGCCUGGAAACUCUCAUCCUUCGUCAUUGUGAACGCCUUUCUAUGCUUCCCUCUGAUAUUGGAUCCCUCAAACUUCUUCAAGUACUUGAUCUUAGAGGCACUGAGAUCAACUUAUUACCUGAUGAGAUCGGUGAACUAUCGUCUUUGACAUACUUUGAUAUAUGCUUCUAUGGAUCUAUCAACCGAAGGGAGCAUCUUAAAUUGCCACAAGGCUUGAUUUCUAGUGGGAUAAUAUCGAGGCUCUGUGCAUUGCAAUCACUAGGGAUUAGAGUGUGCCCGGGAGAUGAGCGGUGGGACAAAUGUGUCAAAUCCAUCAUUUACGAGGUAAGUAAAUUGACGGGGCUAACUUCUCUGUCUUUUUAUUUCCCGGAAGUAGAGCUUCUUGAACUGUUCCUUCAAAAAAGUGCAGCCUGGAUUGAUCAAUGCUUAACUGAGUAUAAUUUCGUGGUUGGCCAUGACAUCAAGCGUAUUGUCUCUCGAGUUCCACAAUAUGUGGAGCUUGAUUAUGAUCGAACAAGCCAACGCUUGAGAUUUGUUAACGGUGAGAAGAUACCUGCUGCAAUCGUCAAAGUACUAGAAUAUUGCUCAGCUUUUUAUUUAGAUCAUCACCUGGACGUAAUCAGCAUAUCGAAGUUCGGGAUUGCCAACAUGAAUAAGUUGAAACACUGCAUAGUAAGUGAGUGUCCCACAGUUAAAGCUGUUUUGGACGAUAGGGAAUUUACCGAGGUUGUAUUUCCAUGCCUAGAGCACUUGAAUCUUCACUAUUUGUGGAAUUUGGAAUACAUCUGCGACAACCUUCUUCCUGAAGGAAGCUUCGCCAUGCUACGGAUCUUGUAUGUGCACGCAUGUCCAAAGUUGAAAUAUGUCUUGAAAAGCUCCAUGCUUCGUUUCUUCUCGAAGCUAGAGGAGUUGAUAGUCGAUGAUUGUACAGCAAUCGAGAAGAUCAUACUUGACGAUGAUAUGACCACUGAUUUGAGUCACAUGUCGGAUUCCAGUUUCAAAAGAUUAACUCUUCACUACCUUCCUGCAUUAGAAACCAUUCGAGAAGGUGUUUGGCCCUCAUUCGAAUAUAUCAGUGUAUACAACUGCCCUAAUUUCAAGAAAAUCAAUUUAGAUUCCAAGUCGAAACACACACUGAAGGGGAUUAAAGGUGAGAAGGUGUUGAAAGCUGGACUGCAAUGCAACAUGGAGCCAAAAGCUUGCUACUGUCGAGACCAGCAACUAUCGAGCUCAGCUCGUUUUGCUUGGUGCGCACGAAUGGUUUUUGAACUGAAUGAAGCAACCAACUUUGCUGUUUUGUUUUGAUGUAAUUUGAUUCAGUUCAACUUUAGUUUGUUUGUAAUGCUAGUUAAACUUAAGUUAGUGACAUGAUCUUUUGAUGUAAUGGCUGAUUGGUCAGCUAUGUUUGAUUAUUUUUUGGCUAGUGAUUAGGUUUGUAUUAGUUGGGGCAGUUAAAUACAUUAGGUAACUGUCAAUGUACAAUUGUAACUCUUUUAUAUAUUUCAAGUUGAAUGAAAAAUGAUGUAUGUUCAGUCACAAACAUUGCUGAGUAUUUUGAUUUUUGAUGCUUUGCUUGCCUUGAUUCUUCUUGCUUCAGUCUUGCAAACACUGAGUUGCAAAUUUGCUUUGAUGUUUGCUGCUGUCAUUGUUCCAACAAAUGGUAUCAUGAGCCCGAGUCUUUGAGGGGCCUUUGUAUGCAAUCUGUUGUGUUCGAAACAAAACCAACAGCAAAUUCAAAAUUUGGUAAGAUUGAAGCAUUUAAAAUCAGUUUAGCAGAAUGAGUUUCACUCCACCACCUCCACCAGUGUUCACUGGAGAAAACUAUCACAUUUGGAUAGUUAAAAUGAAGACUUAUCUCCAGGCACAUGAUCUUUGGAGUGUGAUCGAGAAUGAUGCUGAACCACCUCCAUUGAGAGCCAAUCCCACCAUUGCACAGAUGAGGCAACAUACUGAGGAGCGAGCCAAGAAGCAUAAGGCUAUGGCCUGCUUGCAAAAUGGAGUCUCUGAUGUGAUAUUUACUCGCAUCAUGGCCUGUGACUCACCUAAGCAGGCUUGGGAGAAGCUGAAGGAGGAGUUCAUGGGGACUGAUAAGACAAGGCAACAGCAAGUAAUCAACCUCAGGAGAGACUUUGAAAACUUGAGGAUGAAGGAGUCUGAGACCAUCAAGCAGUACUCAGACAGGAUAAUGGCCAUUGUCAACAGCAUUAGGCUCCUGGGAGUGGACUUCACAGAGAGCAGAGUUGUUGAAAAGGUUAUUACAACUCUUCCUGAGAAAUUUGAGUUUAAAAUCUCUUCACUUGAGGACUCGAGGGACUUAUCAGCCAUUUCAUUGUCUGAGCUGAUAAAUUCCCUAUAUGCACUUGAGCAAAGGAGGGCAAAUAGGCAGGAGGAGAAUCCUGAAGCUGCUUUCCAGGCUAAAGCCAGUGAAGGCUCGAGUGUGAGUGUAAAAGGCAAGAAGCCUUGGCACAAUAGAAGGGUCAAGUCAGGAAGAGAUGAAGCAAAAAGGGUGUUCCCACCAUGUGUUCAUUGCAAGAAGACAACACAUUCAGAAAAGUAUUGCUGGUUUAGGCCAGAUAUUCAGUGUAGAAAAUGCAAACAGUUUGGCCAUGUGGAGAAGGUGUGCAAGGGCAAACCAAGGGAGGCUACUCUGCAACAAGCUAGACCUGCUGAGGACAUUCAAGCUCAGGAGGAGCAAGUGUUCACAGCAACUUGUUUUGUUGGCACAACCAAGGCCAGCAAUGAUUGGCUACUAGACAGUGGCUGCUCACACCAUAUGGCAGCAGAUGAGAAGCUGUUCAAAAGCCUAGACAGAAGCUUCCACUCGAGGAUUAGAAUUGGAGAUGGUAGGCUGAUUGAAGCUAAAGGCAAGGGCAGUGUGUUGAUUAGCACUGGUUCAGGUAACAAGCUGAUCUCAGAUGUGUUUUUUGUACCUGACUUAGACCAGAAUUUGCUUAGUGUGGGCCAAUUAGUUGAAAAGAGCUAUACAUUGGUUUUUAAGGAUGGUUGCUGUAUUGUUCAAGACAUGAAUGGUCUGGAGUUAGUCACAGUCUCUAUGACUGAUAGGUGCUUCAUGCUGGAUGUUAGCCAAAUAGAAAGAAAGGCAUACACCAGCCUUGUUGAAAGCACUGACUUGUGGCAUAGGAGACUAGGCCAUGCAAAUUUUAGAUCUAUUGAUCUAUUACAUAGGCUGAAUCUGGUUGAUGACAUUUCAAAAAUUGAAGCUAGUGGGAAUGUUUGUGAGGUUUGUCAGCUUGGUAAGCAGGCUAGACUGCCUUUUCCUGCUGAUAGUGCUUGGAGAGCUCAAGACAAGCUCGAAUUGGUGCACUCUGAUGUUUGUGGCCCUAUGAGAACACCUUCAAUCAGUGAGAACAGGUACUUUGCCUUGUUUAUAGAUGAUUUAACAAGGUUAUGCUGGGUCUACUUCUUGAAGCAAAAGUCAGAAGUGUUUGAAGCCUUCUGUAAAUUCAAGGCUUAUGCUGAAAAUCAGUCAGGCUGCAAAAUUAGAGCCUUGAGGACUGAUAAUGGAUCUGAAUAUGUGUCUGAGAGAUUUCAGAAGCUUUGUGACAGUGCUGGGAUUCACCAUCAGCUCACAACAGUCUAUUCUCCUCAACAGAAUGGAGUCUGUGAGAGAAAGAAUAGGACUGUACUGAACAUGGCCAGGUGCCUCUUGUUUCAAGGCAAGCUUCCAAGUCAGUUUUGGGCUGAGGCAGUCAACACCUCAGUGUAUCUGCUCAACAGACUGCCAACUAGAGCGGUCAAGGAUAAGACUCCUUUUGAGGCUUGGCACGGAGUCAAACCUGUGGUAACACACUUAAAAGUGUUUGGCUGUGUAUGUUAUGCACUUAUUCCAGUGGAGAAAAGGACCAAGCUUGAGAGCAGAGCAACUCCAGGAAUUUUUGUUGGCUACAGCAGCAACAAGAAGGGCUAUAGAGUGUAUGAUCCUACAGCAAAGAAGGUUUUAGUCAGCAGGGAUGUUAAGUUUGAUGAGGAAAAGGUGUGUAAUUGGAAUGGUGUUGUGGCUAACUUGUCUGAAUUGGACCAGUUAGACUUGGUUGCUGAACCUGCAGAAGAAGGACCAAGUAAUGAUGCUGUCGAUGAUAUACCAGUGAGGGGCACCAGAACUUUGGUUGAUGUUUAUCAGAGGUGCAAUGUUGCUGUGAUUGAGCCCUCAGACUUUGAAGAGGCUGCUAAAAACAGAAGCUGGAUGAAAGCUAUGGAAGCUGAGUUGGAAAUGAUCAACAAAAAUCAGACUUGGGAGUUGGUGAGCAGACCAGAACACAAGAGGGUCAUAGGAGUUAAAUGGGUGUAUCGGGCCAAGUACAAUGCUGAUGGCUCACUAAACAAGCACAAGGCCAGGCUUGUGGUGAAGGGCUACAGUCAGCAGUAUGGUGUUGACUACCUAGAAACUUUUGCUCCAGUGGCAAGACUGGAUACAAUUAAGCUGCUGUUUGCUUUAGCAGCUCAGAAACAGUGGAGAGUUCACCAAUUGGAUGUCAAAUCAGCAUUCCUGAAUGGUUUUCUCAAGGAGGAGAUCUUUAUCGAGCAACCUGAAGGUUUUGAAGUUGUUGGACAUGAAGAAAAAGUAUAUAAGUUGAGAAAGGCCCUCUAUGGCCUGAAACAGGCACCAAGGGCCUGGUAUGACAGAGUUGAUGACUACCUGACCAAACUUGGAUUUGUAAAGAGCCUUAGUGAGCCUACUCUAUAUGUUAAAAAGUCAGAACAUGAAACCUUGCUGAUAGUCUCCUUGUAUGUGGAUGAUUUGCUUGUGACAGGGAGCAAAAUCGAGCUCAUUGAUCAGUUCAAGGUCCAAAUGCAGCAAGUGUUUGAGAUGACAGAUUUAGGGAUCAUGACUUACUUCCUUGGCAUGGAAGUGCACCAAUCUGAUCGAGGUAUCUUCAUCAGCCAACACUCAUUUGCUUUGAAGAUUCUAGACAAAUUUUGCAUGCAUAACUGUAAAGCAGUCAGCACACCUGUGGCUCAAGGAGAAAAGCUGACUAGCAGUAGUGAUCAGCAGAGGGUUGAUGAGAGGCACUAUCGAAGCCUGGUUGGUUGUCUGUUGUAUCUAACAGCAACCAGGCCAGAUAUCAUGUUUGGUGUCAGCCUGUUAUCAAGAUUUAUGCAUUGUUGCAAUGAGGCACAUUUGAAGGCAGCAAAGAGGAUCCUUAGAUACAUCAAGGGCACUGCCAGUUUUGGUGUAAUGUUUGAAAGUCAGAACCAACUAAAAUUAGAAGGCUACUCUGACAGCGACUGGGCAGGAUCUCUCGAUGACAUGAAGAGUACCUCUGGAUACUUCUUCACACUUGGAUCGGGCAUGUUUUGCUGGAGUUCUAAGAAGCAACAAACUGUUGCUCAGUCCACAGCUGAAGCAGAGUACAUUGCUGCAGCAGGAGCAGUUAAUCAGGCCAUCUGGCUAAGAAAGCUGCUUUAUGAUCUUAAUGAAACUCAAGAUGAAGCAACUGAAAUCUGGGUGGACAAUCAGUCUGCAGUUGCAAUAGCCAAGAACCUUGUGUUUCAUGGCAAGACUAAGCAUUUUAAGAUCAAAUUGCAUUUUGUUAGAGAGGCUGAACAAGCAAAGGAAGUCAGCCUUGUGCAUUGCAGCUCAGGAGCACAAUUGGCUGACAUAAUGACCAAGCCCUUAGGGGCUGCUCGAUUUGAAUCUUUGAGAAGUGCAAUUGGAAUGUGUUGCAUACAGUCCAAGGAGGAGUGUUGAAAGCUGGACUGCAAUGCAACAUGGAGCCAAAAGCUUGCUACUGUCGAGACCAGCAGCUAUCGAGCUCAGCUCGUUUUGCUUGGUGCGCACGAAUGGUUUUUGAACUGAAUGAAGCAACCAACUUUGCUGUUUUGUUUUGAUGUAAUUUGAUUCAGUUCAACUUUAGUUUGUUUGUAAUGCUAGUUAAACUUAAGUUAGUGACAUGAUCUUUUGAUGUAAUGGCUGAUUGGUCAGCUAUGUUUGAUUAUUUUUUGGCUAGUGAUUAGGUUUGUAUUAGUUGGGGCAGUUAAAUACAUUAGGUAACUGUCAAUGUACAAUUGUAACUCUUUUAUAUAUUUCAAGUUGAAUGAAAAAUGAUGUAUGUUCAGUCACAAACAUUGCUGAGUAUUUUGAUUUUUGAUGCUUUGCUUGCCUUGAUUCUUCUUGCUUCAGUCUUGCAAACACUGAGUUGCAAAUUUGCUUUGAUGUUUGCUGCUGUCAUUGUUCCAACAGAAGGAUUGGUGGGAUUCAUUAGAGUGGAAAGAACCUUCUCUAAGCAUACAUUUCAACGACUUGUUUACUCUAGUUUCUGAGGAUGAUAUAUGAGGAGAUAGUAUCAAUUGACGCUAUUUUCAUCGCUUGAGUCAAUGACGUGUAAGAAUCAAGAAUUUUUACCAGCAGAAAAUAAAUCAAGGCUGAAGAGGUAUUGUCUCCUUUUCCUUUUUCUUUUCCAGGAUUAUGAAGUAUUUAUAUUUAUUUGAAAUUCAAGCAUGCUUAUAUAGUAGCUGAAUAUCACUUAGCAGUGAGUAC